ACGAGACUAGAGGGCAAGAAAAAGUGAGACAAAGUAGAUUUUGUAAGUUUUCUAAAUUUAUUUAAAUCCCUCAAUGUCAAUCUGCCACUCUUAGAUCUUAUCAAUAAGAUCCUUAAAUAUGCCAAGCACCUAAAGAAAAUAAUGGCACGACAUGAGAAAAUGAAAAAGGGAAAGCAAAUUGACAUUGAUGCCUCAUGUAGUUCACUAAU
RNAcentral lists this long non-coding RNA (209 nucleotides) under Gossypium barbadense (sea-island cotton). RNAcentral's name for it is "long non-coding RNA (GBAR_LNC018504)". Lineage: Eukaryota; Viridiplantae; Streptophyta; Magnoliopsida; Malvales; Malvaceae. The record is from RNAcentral.